GUGUUAAUCGGUGGUACCUGGAGGGAGGUUUUCUAGGUGUGUUUCUUUAACGAGGACGAAACACACCUGGUUAACCCCUUUUCCAGUAUCGGAUCC
MicroRNA precursor from Pteropus vampyrus (large flying fox), 96 nucleotides. NCBI's taxonomy places the organism in Eukaryota, Metazoa, Chordata, Mammalia, Chiroptera, Pteropodidae. The record is from Ensembl.